Non-coding RNA from Camelina sativa (false flax), 2839 nucleotides. Lineage: Eukaryota; Viridiplantae; Streptophyta; Magnoliopsida; Brassicales; Brassicaceae. The record is from RefSeq and is a predicted model, not a curated record.
CCUUCUUAACAAGUAUAUCCUUUUUAACUAGUUUUUGUGUUCAAUGUCUUUAUGCUCGAGUGUGAGCUCUUCUGAUGCAUGUGGUUUCUUCUCCCCUUAAAAGAGUUUAUGAGAUUUGCUCUUCUGAUGCAUGUGGUUCUUCUCCCCUUAAAAGAGUUUAUGAGAUUUGCCAUUGUUGAUUUGUUCUCAGGACGCAAGGUUCUCUUUUACCUCUUUGGCUUUGAUGGAAACGCUUCUCCUUUGUGCUACAUCUUCAGGGAUCAUCGUCGAGCCAGAGGCACUGGGAUUGGAACUGUUCUGUUGAAUCUUAUCUUCUCUGUCUAUCAUCAUCUGUUUAGGUUUUGUAUGAUGCUUAUAUCGAUGAAUGAUGAGUGAAGGCUUUGAUGGAAACACUUCUUCUUCUUGCUACAUCUUCGAUCAGGGGGUUCGUUUAACGGUUGAAAGGAGUCAGGUUUGGUUUGACCUCUCUAGUUGUUUUGUGGUUUUGGAUGAUGGUUUUAUGGAUCAGUGAUGGCUUUGUUGGUCAAACUUCAUCUCUGUGCUAUGUCUAGAGGGGCUUUUUGGAAGCAAAUUGUAAUCUAUAUCAUCUCUUAGUCAAGGUUAUAUUAGAGAAAAGCAUUAGGGGUAUGUUUAACGUUGGAAAGGAGUCAGGUUUGGUUUGACCUCUUUGGAUGAUGCUCUUAUUUACUUGCUGUUUUGUGAUUUCAGGUUCUGAUGAUGCAUUGAUGGAUCAUUGAUGUCAUUGAUGGACACGCAUCUUAUUUGUUCUUUUCUUAGGCUUAACACAUCUUAUACUUUUCUUUUUCUUGUUACUUACAUUUCUUUCUUUGUCUUGCAUGUCUUUUCAGAGCAAAAUUAUAUCUGAUUGUAGCUUAUUCCUAGUGAUGCUGGCAUUUACGUUUUGAGUCUAAGACCUUGUCGUUUGUUUUACUUGUCCUUCUGUUGUUUCAGGUUUUGGUUGAGUCUCUAUCGAUCAAUGAUUGCUUUCAGGGGUUUUGUUUUGGAAGCAAACUAUGAUCUUGAUCAUCGUGUAGUCAAGGCUAUGUAAGAGAACAUUCAUCAGGCUACGAACUCGUCUCUUUCCCCUUCUUUCUCUGUACUAUAUCUCACAUGCUGCAUCGAUUCCUUAUUUUUGAUCCUAUUUUUAUAUGCUUGUCACUGUAACCUUAAUUAUGUGAAGUGAUCCUCUUUUAAUUUAAGACCUUGUCGUUUGUUAUAUAUAGUUGAAGUCAUAUAAGAGAAAAGUAUGAGGUUAGUAACUUUGGAUGAUGCUUUGAUUUACUUGUCGUUCUUUUAUAUCUGGUUUUAUAUGGUGAUCAGUGAUGGCUUUUAUGGAUACGCUUUCAGGUUAGUAACUGGUCACAAUCCCCUUUUUCUCUGUUUAUGUAUCUCUCAUGCUGCAUCUAUUCCUACUUUUUGAUCUUAUUCUCAUGUGCUAAAUAGCCGAGGUAUAAGAGAAAAUAGUCUGGUUACUUACUAGUCUCUUCCCACUUUUUUAGCUGUUAAUUUUUUGUAACCUUCUUAACAAGUAUGUGUCCUUUUUAACUAGUUUUUGUGUUCAAUGUCUUUAUCCUCGAGUGUGAGCUCUUCUGAUGCAUGUGGUUUCUUCUCCCCUUAAAAGAGUUUAUGAGAUUUGCUCUUCUGAUGCAUGUGGUUCUUCUCCCCUUAAAAGAGUUUAUGAGAUUUGCCAUUGUUGAUUUGUUCUCAGGACGCAAGGUUCUCUUUUAACUCUUUGGCUUUGAUGGAAACGCUUCUCCUUUGUGCUACAUCUUCAGGGAUCAUCGUCGAGCCAGAGGCACUGGGAUUGGAACUGUUCUGUUGAAUCUUAUCUUCUCUGUCUAUCAUCAUCUGUUUAGGUUUUGUAUGAUGCUUAUAUCGAUGAAUGAUGAGUGAGGGCUUUGAUGGAAACACUUCUUCUUCGUGCUACAUCUUUGAUCAGGGGUUUUGUUCUUUUCUUCCUUCCUUUUAACACGUUUUUUACUUUUUCUUUUUUUUUUUGUUCGUAACAUUCUUUCUUCCCCUUUAUUUCCACUGCAUCUGUAUCUCUCAUGCUGCAUCAAUUCCUUGUUUUUGAUCCAUUCUGAUAUGCUUAUCACUAUGGCCUUGAUUUAUGUGAAGUGGUCCUCUUUUUUUGUAAGGUAUGUUUAAUGGUUGAAAGGAGUCAGGUUUGGUUGACCUCUCUAGUUGUUUUGUGGUUUUGGAUGAUGGUUUUAUGGAUCAGUGAUGGCUUUGUUGGUCAAACUUCAUCUCUGUGCUAUGUCUAGAGAGGCUUUUUGGAAGCAAAUUGUAAUCUAUAUCAUCUCUUAGUCAAGGUUAUAUUAGAGAAAAGCAUUAGGGGUAUGUUUAACGUUGGAAAGGAGUCAGGUUUGGUUUGACCUCUUUGGAUGAUGCUCUUAUUUACUUGCUGUUUUGUGAUUUCAGGUUCUGAUGAUGCAUUGAUGGAUCAUUGAUGUCAUUGAUGGACACGCAUCUUAUUUGUUCUUUUCUUAGGCUUAACACAUCUUAUACUUUUCUUUGUCUUGUUACUCACAUCUUAUACUCUUUUCCAACGUUAAACAUACCCCUACACAAAAGAGGACCACUUCACAUAAAUUAAGGCCAUAGUGAUAAACAUAUAAGAAAGGGUCAAACACAAGGAAUUGAUGCAGCAUGAGAGAUACAGAUGCAGAGGAAAUAAAGGGGAAGAAAGAAUGUUAGGAACAAAAAAAAAAGAAGAAGUAAAAAACGUGUUAAGAGGAAGAAAAGAACAAAACCCCUGAUCGAAGAUGUAGCAAGAAGAAGAAGUGUUUCCAUCAAAGCCUUCACUCAUCAGUCAUCGAUAUAAGCAUCAUACAAAACC